UGGGGAAUAUUGCACAAUGGGCGAAAGCCUGAUGCAGCGACGCCGCGUGAGGGAUGACGGCCUUCGGGUUGUAAACCUCUUUCAGCAGGGAAGAAGCGAAAGUGACGGUACCUGCAGAAGAAGCGCCGGCUAACUACGUGCCAGCAGCCGCGGUAAUACGUAGGGCGCAAGCGUUGUCCGGAAUUAUUGGGCGUAAAGAGCUCGUAGGCGGUUAGUCGCGUCUGCUGUGAAAACUCGAGGCUCAACCUCGGGCUUGCAGUGGGUACGGGCUGACUAGAGUGCAGUAGGGGUGACUGGAAUUCCUGGUGUAGCGGUGGAAUGCGCAGAUAUCAGGAGGAACACCGAUGGCGAAGGCAGGUCACUGGCCGCAACUGACGCUGAGGAGCGAAAGCAUGGGGAGCGAACAGGAUUAGAUACCCUGGUAGUCCAUGCCGUAAACGUUGGGCACUAGGUGUGGGGUCCAUUCCACGGAUUCCGUGCCGCAGCAAACGCAUUAAGUGCCCCGCCUGGGGAGUACGGCCGCAAGGCUAAAAACUCAAAGGAAUUGAC
This 549-nucleotide ribosomal RNA is filed under the name uncultured bacterium. RNAcentral's name for it is "partial 16S ribosomal RNA". It matches the Rfam family "Bacterial small subunit ribosomal RNA", at positions 355 to 914 of the family's 1533-position model. The record is from RNAcentral.